RNAcentral lists this ribosomal RNA (490 nucleotides) under uncultured bacterium. Its description in RNAcentral is "partial 16S ribosomal RNA". It matches the Rfam family "Bacterial small subunit ribosomal RNA", at positions 30 to 507 of the family's 1533-position model. The record is from RNAcentral.
AUUGAACGCUGGCGGCAGGCCUAACACAUGCAAGUCGAACGGUAACAGGAAGAAGCUUGCUUCUUUGCUGACGAGUGGCGGACGGGUGAGUAAUGUCUGGGAAACUGCCUGAUGGAGGGGGAUAACUACUGGAAACGGUAGCUAUUACCGCAUAACGUCGCAAGACCAAAGAGGGGGACCUUCGGGCCUCUUGCCAUCGGAUGUGCCCAGAUGGGAUUAGCUAGUAGGUGGGGUAACGGCUCACCUAGGCGACGAUCCCUAGCUGGUCUGAGAGGAUGACCAGCCACACUGGAACUGAGACACGGUCCAGACUCCUACGGGAGGCAGCAGUAGGGAAUAUUGCACAAUGGGCGCAAGCCUGAUGCAGCCAUGCCGCGUGUAUGAAGAAGGCCUUCGGGUUGUAAAGUACUUUCAGCGGGGAGGAAGGGAGUAAAGUUAAUACCUUUGCUCAUUGACGUUACCCGCAGAAGAAGCACCGGCUAACUCCGUG